UCAGGUCGCCCUCGUCCCCAGAGGUAGCAGAUUAGUUGAUGGAUGUUGCAUGUGGGGACAUGGUGAUGCUAGCUUACUUCAAAUGUUGUUUUAUAGGAAUUUAUUGUAAUUGGAUAUUAUUAAUUGAAUAUACUAACAAAUUUCUUCCAUUUUAUCUUAAAAUGUCGUCUUGUCACCUCAUCUCUGCAGUAGAUUUCACACUGAGCACACAAGGGUGCUUCUCUCUGCCCCCCCCCCCCACACACACUGUCCCUCCCAUCCAUCCAUCUGUGUGCGCUGUGACUUUGCCUCUCCACCGAGUGUGUUCCAGCCAUAUUGUGGGUUGAAAUGUUUACGCCUCUAAUGAGCCAAUUGUUCUUGUGUUUUGUUCCCCUCGGGGAGCGUUGUGUAGCUAACAACAUUCUGCUCAAAAAACAUUUUGAAACGUGCUCACUGCACCGGGGAGGGAUUGGGGCCAACAGAACAAUGAUGCCUCGGAGCGUGUACAAAACGGAAGACGUGUUAAUGACGGUCGCGCCAGCGGAGUGACACUGCAUUCUUCUCCUGUCAAUUAGACUCUGGUUAUUCAAAAGCAAUUUGGAGCUCCCCGCGGAGUGAAAUGUGUGCCUGUAUCUCCCGGGCCUUCGUGCGUGAUGAAGUUGUGUAUUCAUUCCAUUUCUUUGUGCGCGCGUCCUACUUUGAGGCGUAGGUAUUGUGCUGAGGUUAGAGACAAGCCGCGUGCUCCGUGCCCAUAGUGAUCUUCACGAAAAGGGAGAAAAGCGCGGCCGUGUUUUGAGCUCCGUGCGGGUUUCUUUCUGCGUGCGCUCAUGUCCGUGAACAAGAGGUAUUGAUACAGCUGGCAUUCAAGACCCUGAUUAAUUGCAAUGGCAUUUGGCUGUUCUCUGUAAAUGCCACAUCCCAUGCUGAGUGCUUGGUUAAUAGCUGUCUGCCCAUUGAAGGCCCCGCGUCGGCCUUUUCCUUCAUCUCCCUCUCUCCUUCUUUCCUCCUCUCCCUUUCCUCUGCCCUCCGCUGCGCCUCUGCUGCAUGAAAGGUCAGAGGUGCUUUAUCAGCAGGAAUUAGUGGAGUGACCCCGUGCGGAUCAGAUGUGCACGCUCUGCACAGCUGGGUCUUGCCGUAUGUCUCUUUGCCGGCGGCGGCGGCGGCGGCAGAAAGUAUGUUAUGUUUAUGUCCUCGUCCCCUCCAAUCUACAGCAAACGUGCUAUGAUAAGAGCGGGAGAAGCACUCUACCUUCAAGUGCGUAUGCCCCGAAGACCCAAUUUCCGCUUGUCUCUACAUCUCAGAAAAAAAAAAGAUACGAAGAAUUAGCUUUCACCCCCCGAGUGGAUUAGUUUGCUCUAUCUUAAUGAGGUUUGCCAUGUCAGAGGGAAUAGUUCAGAGCCUGCAUGCUAAACAGACUGAAAUUGGAAUAGAGUAUCAGCUCCUUGACUGCAAAUAUACCUUCGCUCUCCAACUCUAAUUCCAAAACUGCCACCCAAUUACCCUCAUACACGCUUUAAUCUUGUCGCUUCCAAAUGGGAAUAGAAGACCACGCAGAGGAAAAAAAAUCACUUUGUUUUUUUUUCCCUUUUUGGAAAAGUAAUUCAAAAAUCCAAUUAACCGAGGAAAAAAAAAACCUGUCACCAGUUUGACUGGAGACACUGAAUGUAGUUAUGCAAAUGGACCCAAAGCAUUGUGGAAUGCGAUUUGACAGAAUCUCAUUCUGGAUGGAGCGAGGCCAGAUGGAGAGAUUACUCAGCCGCGUCGGAGUGGAGGCGAACAGGAAGCGGCGAGCUCGGACAGAGAGACGGACGGGAGCAUUUCUUCAACGGGGCUUUCCUCUGCUCCUUCUGCAUCAGCUCUUUUUUUUCCCGUCCGUCAGAUGCCGGCUUAAUAUCAGAUGCCAAAUAACAUUUCUACACAAUUCAUCAUUUUUGCUCACCACAGGGGAGAGGCAGACGCUAUUGCAUCCUCCCACUUGUCUUUACUCUGCUUACAGUGCGGUUUCACGGCAGCCGGGCGGCGACGGCCAAAGGGCUGAGAUAAGGAGAGGAGGCGUGUCCAAAGUGGGGUUCUUUUAUUUUUAGGCACCGGUGGAGAGACGGCGUGGUCGGCUGUGUUGUCACAGCCUCGUCGUAGCAUUCAGGUGUUACUUUGACGGAGUGGUGCGACUCCCAUUAACAUUUCUCUCACAGAAACACUCG
Molecule: long non-coding RNA, 2180 nt
Organism: Gasterosteus aculeatus aculeatus (three-spined stickleback)
Lineage: Eukaryota; Metazoa; Chordata; Actinopteri; Perciformes; Gasterosteidae
Source: Ensembl